RNAcentral lists this ribosomal RNA (554 nucleotides) under uncultured archaeon. RNAcentral's name for it is "bacterial SSU rRNA". It matches the Rfam family "Archaeal small subunit ribosomal RNA", at positions 307 to 864 of the family's 1478-position model. The record is from RNAcentral.
UUGCUGAAUUCGGCUUACGGGGGGCAGCAGGCGCGAAAACUUCACACUGUGCGAAAGCACGAUGAGGGAAUCCCAAGUGCUUGCUCGUAAGAGUAAGCUGUUUCUUUGUUUAAAACACAGAGAGAGUAAGGGCUGGGUAAGACGGGUGCCAGCCGCCGCGGUAAUACCUGCAGCUCGAGUGGUGACCGCUAUUAUUGGGCCUAAAACGUUCGUAGCCGGUUUAGUAAAUGCCUGGGUAAAUCGAGCCGCUUAACGGUUCGAAUUCCGGGUAGACUGCUAAACUUGAGACCGGGAGAGGCUAGAGGUACUCCUGGGGUAGAGGUGAAAUUCUGUAAUCCUGGGGGGACCACCAGUGGCGAAGGCGUCUAGCUAGAACGGGUCUGACGGUGAGGGACGAAGCCCUGGGGCGCAAACCGGAUUAGAUACCCGGGUAGUCCAGGGUGUAAACGCUGCUUGCUUGAUGUUAGUUGGGCUCUGAGCCCGAUUAGUGUCGGAGAGAAGUUGUUAAGCAAGCUGCCUGGGAAGUACGGUCGCAAGGCUGAAACUUAAAGAAU